Molecule: transfer RNA, 75 nt
Filed under: Acidobacteriota bacterium
Lineage: Bacteria; Pseudomonadati; Acidobacteriota
Also listed under: 2 other names
Description: Acidobacteria bacterium tRNA-Asn
Rfam family: tRNA
About the family: Transfer RNA (tRNA) molecules are approximately 80 nucleotides in length. Their secondary structure includes four short double-helical elements and three loops (D, anti-codon, and T loops). Further hydrogen bonds mediate the characteristic L-shaped molecular structure. tRNAs have two regions of fundamental functional importance: the anti-codon, which is responsible for specific mRNA codon recognition, and the 3' end, to which the tRNAs corresponding amino acid is attached (by aminoacyl-tRNA synthetases). tRNAs cope with the degeneracy of the genetic code in two manners: having more than one tRNA (with a specific anti-codon) for a particular amino acid; and 'wobble' base-pairing, i.e. permitting non-standard base-pairing at the 3rd anti-codon position.
Source: RNAcentral
UCCUCAGUAGCUCAAUGGCAGAGCAUCCGGCUGUUAACCGGAGGGUUGUAGGUUCAAGUCCUACCUGAGGAGCCA